This 1400-nucleotide long non-coding RNA is filed under the name Theobroma cacao (cacao). RNAcentral's name for it is "long non-coding RNA (TCAC_LNC000948)". The record is from RNAcentral. Lineage: Eukaryota; Viridiplantae; Streptophyta; Magnoliopsida; Malvales; Malvaceae.
AAACAUGUUUUUACUUUUAAAAUAUAGUCAUUCCUUGGCAUUGGUUGAGUUUCAUCCUCACGUGGUGGUUCGGCGUGAAGUGAACUCUAAACUUACCUUAGGAGAUACCCUCCGCGCCUCUCAUACUAAGGUAAAAUAUAACGGGGUUUGCUGUACCCCUCUAAUAGGCUAGUCCACAGAGACCCGCCCACUGCAGUAAGCUAAUCAAAUAACCCACCAAAUCAAUAAACAUUUCGACAGCAUUACAUGGCUAAUAUAAUAUUACCCAGCCUAUGUCACGGCAAAACAAAUCUGUUUAUAUAUAUUCCACACAAAACACAAAUUCAGCCAUUCAUGCCAUCACAUUGUCAUAAGCCACCAAUUCAAACCAUAUAUCAAAACACAAGCAUAUAGUCUCCACUUACUCAAUUUCCAAAAUUGGUAUUCAAUUUCAAAACAAGUUAUAAAACUCAUUUCAUUUAACCAAUAAUUCAAUUUUAAAACAUAAUAAUUUACCAUUUAAAUUCAUUAUUCAUUAAAACAUAAAAAUGAGUAGAAACAACUUUAGAUAGUUAAGAUGAAAGCCUGUUACUCACAAUAGUGGGAGUUUGGAGUACUCCUAUUCUUGGUCCUCGGGUACAAUAUCUUUACCCUUAUCAAAGGGCUCACCACCUAUACAUAAUACACGACAUGUAAUUCAAUAUAUUUGUGCCAAUUGUUAUAAAAUUAUUUCAGGCUCUAUAUGAAUGCAUGAAAUUGAAUGAGAAUUGUUCAAAUAAUCAUUUAAAGACGAUGUUUUACAUAGGUUCAAUUAUGAUCGGACUGAAUUUGUAUUUGACCUACUCGAACUAUACACUGUUAAAUCAACCAAAACAUCCAAUUCAACUUCAAAUAUAUUCAUUUCACUUCCAAAAUUCCAAAUACACCUAAGUACCUCAAUGGGCUUAAUUGUGACCUAAUUCACCAUAACCGAAAUUCAUUCCGAUUUCGAUAUCCAACAUCAUAAUUCAUCAAUUCUUAGCUAAAUAACUUGAAAUACAACAAAAUCCAUAAUCAACAUGUCACCCAUAAAAUUCGGCCAAGGAGGGUUUGAUGAAGAACAUGUGGUUUUCAUGCUUGUUUUUCACAUCGAGUAUCACAAAACAACUAAAAACGCAUAUGUAGCAUGAAAUCUAACAAAACCCGUGAUCAAAACCUCUCCCCCUAGGUUCGGCCAGCAUACUUUCCUUCAUGAAAUCUUGAGUUUCAACUAUGGAAAAUGAAAAACAAAACAUGGGAAAGGUAGGUCUUAAGCUAAAAUUGAAAAAUCUUACCUUUAAUUGUUUUGUUCCUUGAAAUUCAACAAAUUUCUCUUGGAUUUUCUUCUCUAGGGUUUGUUCUUAUUCUUUGCCCUUUGUUCUUUGCUUUGGCGGCCAAGAGAG